AACAAAUUUACAUUUUUCUUGAAUUUUGAAAAAAAAAAGAAAAACUGCUGCUCAACUCACGCAAUAGCCAAAGUUUGAGUGUUGAAAAUGAAAAUUUGUAAAUAUUGCGUUAAAUGUAUUUUAAAUUACUUUUUUUUGGUCUACUACUCCUCUCGCCUUUUUUCUACUUUUUGUUCAUGUUGGUUCCACACAAAGCAACUGCAGCAACAGUAACACUUUGUGUAUGAGUGAGUCCUGCUAAACAACAAUAAUAAUAAAAAAUGGAAAUAAAAAAUAACAAAAAAACAGCAACAAUAUGAAAAUGCUAAUGUUUCUCUUCUGUUCAUAUUAUUUUUUUUUUUGUUUAAGUCGUAAAAAAUCAAUGUAGAAUGAAAAAUAUGAACAACAAACCGAACCGGAUGUAAUUUUUAAGUUGUUUCUUGUAACAGAAGUGUAUCAGAGAGGAAAAAAAUACCCACACAAGCACAACUUUCUUUUGUCGACAUUUGCCGCAACCAUGGAGACAUACAUACACGUUUUCAAAAGUAUUAAAAUAAUGAUGGAAUAUAAGAAAUUUUUUAGUUACUACAUUUUUCGCAUGCCGCCGCCAUCACUGUGGGUCCAACGAAAUCAAAAAGCCAAUUUGAUUAUUAAACCAGAUAUACAAAUAAACUAAAUGAGAAUUAUACAACUUUAAAACUUUCGAGUUGAUUAGUAUCAUCUUAGUAUAGUUUUCUCUUGUUUAGAAUGGAGUUUUUGAAGACAAAGUCAACUUUUCUUCGCUGACAGUGAUUUAUUGAUUGAAAGAUUAAUAUAAACUCACUGUUUGCGAUAAUAUGUAAAGAAGAGCGAGAAAACUGAUUUCUAGUUAGAAAAGUGUUGACUUUAGAGAC
Long non-coding RNA from Lucilia cuprina (Australian sheep blowfly), 872 nucleotides. RefSeq lists it as uncharacterized. The transcript has 3 exons. NCBI's taxonomy places the organism in Eukaryota, Metazoa, Arthropoda, Insecta, Diptera, Calliphoridae. The record is from RefSeq and is a predicted model, not a curated record.